AUCCAGCUGACGAAUCCCAGAUAGGACGAAACGCGCAUCACACUGGAU
This is a non-coding RNA of Schistosoma rodhaini, 48 nucleotides long. The record is from Rfam. NCBI's taxonomy places the organism in Eukaryota, Metazoa, Platyhelminthes, Trematoda, Strigeidida, Schistosomatidae.